This 425-nucleotide ribosomal RNA is filed under the name uncultured bacterium. RNAcentral describes it as "bacterial SSU rRNA". It matches the Rfam family "Bacterial small subunit ribosomal RNA", at positions 356 to 773 of the family's 1533-position model. The record is from RNAcentral.
GGGGAAUAUUGGACAAUGGGCGCAAGCCUGAUCCAGCCAUGCCGCGUGGGUGAAGAAGGCCUUCGGGUUGUAAAGCCCUUUUGUUGGGAAAGAAAAGCAGCCGGCCAAUACCCAGUUGUUCUGACGGUACCCAAAGAAUAAGCACCGGCUAACUUCGUGCCAGCAGCCGCGGUAAUACGAAGGGUGCAAGCGUUACUCGGAAUUACUGGGCGUAAAGCGUGCGUAGGUGGUGGUUUAAGUCCGUUGUGAAAGCCCUGGGCUCAACCUGGGAACUGCAGUGGAUACUGGAUCACUAGAGUGUGGCAGAGGGUAGUGGAAUUCCCGGUGUAGCAGUGAAAUGCGUAGAGAUCGGGAGGAACAUCAGUGGCGAAGGCGACUGCCUGGGCCAACACUGACACUGAGGCACGAAAGCGUGGGGAGCAAAC